This 253-nucleotide ribosomal RNA is filed under the name uncultured bacterium. RNAcentral's name for it is "partial 16S ribosomal RNA". It matches the Rfam family "Bacterial small subunit ribosomal RNA", at positions 524 to 776 of the family's 1533-position model. RNAcentral also lists the same sequence under 1 other name. The record is from RNAcentral.
UACGUAGGGUGCAAGCGUUAAUCGGAAUUACUGGGCGUAAAGCGUACGCAGGCGGCUAUGUAAGACAGGUGUGAAAUCCCCGGGCCUAACCUGGGAACUGCAUUUGUGACUGCAUAGCUAGAGUCCGUCAGAGGGGGGUGGAAUUCCACGUGUAGCAGUGAAAUGCGUAGAGAUGUGGAGGAACACCGAUGGCGAAGGCAGCCCCCUGGGAUGAGACUGACGCUCAUGUACGAAAGCGUGGGGAGCAAACAGG